AGUUCGGAUUGAAGGCUGAAAUUACGCCUUCAUGAAGCUGGAAUUGCUAGUAAUGGCAGGUCAGCAUACUGCCGUGAAUACGUUCCCGGGCCUUGUACACACCGCCCGUCACACCAUAAGAGUUGGGAAUACCCGAAGCCUGUGAGCUAACAUUUAUGAGGCAGCAGUCGAAGGUAGAAUCAAUGAUUGGGGUGAAGUCGUAACAAGGUACC
This 212-nucleotide ribosomal RNA is filed under the name uncultured bacterium. RNAcentral's name for it is "partial 16S ribosomal RNA". It matches the Rfam family "Bacterial small subunit ribosomal RNA", at positions 1290 to 1500 of the family's 1533-position model. The record is from RNAcentral.